CCUACGGGAGGCAGCAGUGAGGAAUAUUGGUCAAUGGACGAGAGUCUGAACCAGCCAAGUAGCGUGAAGGAUGACUGCCCUAUGGGUUGUAAACUUCUUUUAUAUGGGAAUAAAAUGUUCCACGUGUGGGAUUUUGUAUGUACCAUAUGAAUAAGGAUCGGCUAACGCCGUGCCAGCAGCCGCGGUAAUACGGAGGAUCCGAGCGUUAUCCGGAUUUAUUGGGUUUAAAGGGAGCGUAGGUGGAUUGUUAAGUCAGUUGUGAAAGUUUGCGGCUCAACCGUAAAAUUGCAGUUGAAACUGGCAGUCUUGAGUACAGUAGAGGUGGGCGGAAUUCGUGGUGUAGCGGUGAAAUGCUUAGAUAUCACGAAGAACUCCGAUUGCGAAGGCAGUUCACUGGACUGCAACUGACACUGAGGCUCGAAAGUGUGGGUAUCAAACAGGAUUAGAUACCCGUGUAGUC
RNAcentral lists this ribosomal RNA (460 nucleotides) under uncultured bacterium. RNAcentral describes it as "partial 16S ribosomal RNA". It matches the Rfam family "Bacterial small subunit ribosomal RNA", at positions 338 to 795 of the family's 1533-position model. The record is from RNAcentral.